CGCAAACACCGACAUAAUGAAGUUACUGAUAGAGUUCACAUCCCACGAACCCACUCCCCCUCCCCUCCCGCGCACGCACAUACACACACGCACACAUUAUCACCUGGCCGGCACAUGUGAUCCCGCAAGGGUACACUGCCCUCUUUAAUCCGUUGUUAUUUUUUCGUUUUUUUUUUGUGCUGUGCCCUUGCCGAGCAGAAGUCUUCUGUGACUGGUAGGCACACGGCGACGAAACGCUGCCGGCAAUCCCAUCAAGAGCUUCCGGUGUGAAGCGUUUAGCCUCCAUGCCGUGCAACGUGUCAUGCUCUACCUCCCAGCACAGCGUGACCGACGAGCCGCGCUUUAUUAUGGAUUUUAGCAUGAACAAGGUUGCCAAGUACUUCCGUCUAUUAGGUUACGACACGCUCUGCUCCCGCGACGUGCCGCAGGCCGACCUCAUCCCCGCCGCGUGCGCUGAGGGCCGAAUACUUGUGACAUGCAGUCGGCCACUAGCACGCAGCGUGCAGCUGCACAACCACCGCGUGCGCACCAUGCGGCUUGGCACUGCAAAGGCGAUGACAGGCGCUGCGCGUCAUGUUGUGGCAUACGAUUCGGAUGGGGAGUCCAUCUACUCGCAUGAAAGCGGGGAGGUGGACGUCGAGCUACGGUGCCUCUUUACUCAGCAGUGGCGCAGCAGCGAGUUCAAGCGCGCUAUGAUCGAGCUCAUUCAACAGGCGGGGGUGACGUACGACCUGAACCGGGUCUUCCGCCGCUGCGUGACAUGCAACGAGCUUCUUGUCACGGUGAAGAAGGAGGAGGUGCGCGGCCGCGUCGUGGCAAAGAUUCACGAGAUUUACGACGAGUUCACUGAGUGCCCCGCGUGCCGAAAAGUCUUCUGGGGCUUUGAUGGCAUUUUUGCGAUCAACUACAAGAGCUUUCGCUCCCUCAACCUGUUGCGCUCGCUGUGCAUCUGCGCUGGGGCCCCCGUGGAGGAGGAGCGGACGCGACUUACUCGACUUCGCUGCUUUCGCUCGUUUCCUCGUAUUGCGAAGGUGCUCAUCUUCUCCUACCUGGAGGACGUGGAUCUAGCGAACAUGAUCGCCGUUUUCCCUGCACUGCGCGACCUCGCCGAGGAAGUACAGGAAAGUCGCCAAACAGGGGAGCCUGUCCAAAAGAUGCGGCUCAGAAAGCGUUGAUCUAACCGCGUCGGUUGAAGGGCACGCCGACGGGGAGGAAAAGAAAAGAGCCACUGAAGAUGUGCCGCGCCGAUAUCGUCUUGGCAGCCGCAGUUCUCUCGUAAGGUGAGUGUGUCGCACUGUUCUUGCCGCUCACUUAUCUACCCGCACACGCACACAGAAGGAAAAAGAGCAGAGCAGCAGAGCGAGAGGAAGAAAGAAAAGGAGACAUAUGUGCUGCUGCUCUGUUCUUGCUUGCGCGUUUUGAAAGCUUCCCCGCGUUGCUGUCCUUGUCCCCGCCCUCACACCCGCGCUCAUGCAUGAGAGGUGUACCGCUCACUGCCUUUUCUUUUGACUCUUGCCACCAGGACGAGGCCAAGCGUCUCCAACGGUGACGGUGCGCAUCUCCACACUCGGAACGCUGUUCUCAAAUUCACACACACACACACACACACACACGCACAAACACACAGUCAGAACCAGAGGAACGUGCGUGAAUUGCAGGAUGGGCCACACGAAGUGUCCAUUAGGGGAGGUUUCUACCGUAAAAGCGGAGGCCGGCAGAGCUUCAUCGCUUAGUUGCACCUCCUCGGUGCAAGACGACCAGUGCCUUCAUCUUCUCUUCUUGGUCGCGACGGAGGCGGCGCCGAAUGUGAGGGCCGCUACACCUGCCUCGCUCAUCAUGAUCCCUCUCUUUUUUCCAUGACUAGCACCACGUCAUGCACCAAUUUAAACGCCUGUCUUGCACUCACUUGUUUUUUCAACCCCUCUGGUCUUCUCAGCGGAUCUCUUGCGCCUCUGUUUUGUGACUCGCACCCACCAUUCCUCCUCCCCCCUUCCCUGCCCACACGCAUGCAG
This 2012-nucleotide unclassified non-coding RNA is filed under the name Leishmania donovani. RNAcentral describes it as "gene:LdHU3.32.0940(CDS-product:Mut7-C_RNAse_domai n_containing_protein_putative)". Lineage: Eukaryota; Euglenozoa; Kinetoplastea; Trypanosomatida; Trypanosomatidae. The record is from RNAcentral.